This 1093-nucleotide long non-coding RNA is filed under the name Salmo salar (Atlantic salmon). RNAcentral describes it as "lncRNA (ENSSSAG00000117956.1)". The record is from RNAcentral. Lineage: Eukaryota; Metazoa; Chordata; Actinopteri; Salmoniformes; Salmonidae.
UUCACAUCACAUCCCUUUCUCUCGGGCUGCUGCUUUUGACUCUGUGCGGUCGAUCCUCGGGAGAAUCAGUCAGUCCUUCUCCACCGAUGACCUCCAGAGCCCUUUUUAUAUGAGCUCUGUCUGUGCCUUUGUGGCGAACGAGGUUCAGAGCCGCUUCCAGCCCCCUGCAGCCACCCUACCAGUCCCCCCUGUCCUCCCGGUGGCCGUCUCCACCACACGACCAGCUGACAUCCAAGCAGACCCAGCAUCUUCCCACCUGGAAGUUGUGGACAUCACCCCCAAAACAGAGGCAGACCCGGCUUGUUCCCACCUGGAGGUUGUGGACAUCACCCCAAAAACAGAGGCAGACCCGGCUUGUUCCCACCUGGAGGUUGUGAACAUCACCCCUAACACAGAGGCAGACCCGGCUUGUUCCCACCUGGAGGUUGUGAACAUCACCCCUAACACAGAGGCAGACCCGGGUUGUUCCCAACUAGAUAUUGUGGACAUCACCCCAAAAACAGAGGCAGACCCGGGUUGUUCCCACCUGGAGGUUGUGGAUAUCACCCCUAAAACAGAGGCAGACCCGGCAUCUUCCCACCUGGAGGUUCAAGACAUUACCCCAAAAACAGAGGCAGGCCCGGGUUCUUCCCACCUGAAUAAUGUGGACAUAACCAUUAAUACAGAGGCAGAUCCGGCUUCUUCCCACCUGAAUGUUGUGGACGUAACCCCUAACACAGAGGCAGAGCCGGCUUCUUUCCACCUGAAUAAUGUGGACAUCACCCCUAAUACAGAGGCAGAGCCCAUCUCUUCCCUCUUGGAGGUUGUGGACGUCACACCUGAAGAAAGGACUCUCACGAUGGCCGUCUUCACCACUCUGCCAGCUGACAUCCAAGCAGAGGAUGUUGCUGUGGUCAUCCCGGAUGUCACCCCACACGUCACCAAGGACGUGACACUGGAUGUUCCAUGUAGAGCUAGGAAAGGGGCAGUCCGGCGAUUAUUUUGCAGGCUUUGGAAGGCAGUGUGCUGCUGCGCCUGCUACAAGGAAGAGGAGGAACAAUAUUAAUUAUUCAUCAGACAUUCAGAAAUGGGAUUGAACCAUAGACCAUUAAAU